RNAcentral lists this long non-coding RNA (225 nucleotides) under Ananas comosus (pineapple). Its description in RNAcentral is "long non-coding RNA (ACOM_LNC001717)". The record is from RNAcentral. Lineage: Eukaryota; Viridiplantae; Streptophyta; Magnoliopsida; Poales; Bromeliaceae.
UUGGAGCCUGAUUGAGCUUGACAGAGAUACGCUGCAUACUUGGUUGGAUAGCGCCCACGAGUGCCACUCCGGAGUCAGGCUUUGUACUUUCGCGUUGGUGUCGCUCAUGCCAGUUUGACUUGCUCUCCACGGACUAGUUAGUGUGGAUAGAGCCUGAUAGUCGCAACGGGGCAGGGACGGGUGUAUUCACAGUCCCGGGGACGGGUAUACUUACAGUCCCGAUUG